UCUUCACUGGAUUUUGAAUUAGUUUUUCUUCCCAUGUGAUCUCUGAAGCAUUUUCAAAAGUAGUCAGUUGUUCAUUAUCUCUAAAUAUUUCUAGAUGUAAUAUGAAAUCAAUCUUGAAUCAGAGAUGGGCCUGAAUGUUAAGUAUUUAUCCUCAUUUAAACAAGUGAAUUUAGACCAGAAUUCAUUAAUGGAUUGUGAAUGGCUUCUUUUGUAGAUCUGGACAGAUCCUCAAAGGAUGCCUUUUUAUGUCUUAGCCAACAAAGGAAAAUAAAGGCCCAGGGGAAGUGGCUUCUGGGCCACCAUCCAUCCCACCACUCCAAGCCCAGAGGAAGGGGUUUCUGAUCCACUGUCCCACUGCUCCUGGCCCAGAAGAAGGGGCUUCUGAACCACCAUCCCAUUGCUCUCAGCUGAGAGGAAGGCGCUUCCAGGCUGAUGUCUGUCCUGCCAAUCCCAGCCCAGAGGAAGGGGCUUCUGAGCUACCAUCCCACCAGUCUCGGACCAGAGGUAUGGG
This 511-nucleotide long non-coding RNA is filed under the name Heterocephalus glaber (naked mole-rat). Its description in RNAcentral is "lncRNA (ENSHGLG00100040328.1)". Lineage: Eukaryota; Metazoa; Chordata; Mammalia; Rodentia; Bathyergidae. The record is from RNAcentral.